GGGGGUAUAGCUCAGUUGGUAGAGCAGCUGACUCUUAAUCAGUAGGUCGUAGGUUCGAUCCAUACUGCCCCUACCA
This 76-nucleotide transfer RNA is filed under the name Azoarcus sp. Its description in RNAcentral is "tRNA-Lys". It matches the Rfam family "tRNA". From Rfam's summary of the family: Transfer RNA (tRNA) molecules are approximately 80 nucleotides in length. The record is from RNAcentral. Lineage: Bacteria; Pseudomonadati; Pseudomonadota; Betaproteobacteria; Rhodocyclales; Zoogloeaceae.